RNAcentral lists this transfer RNA (85 nucleotides) under Lachnospiraceae bacterium. Its description in RNAcentral is "tRNA-Ser". The record is from RNAcentral. Lineage: Bacteria; Bacillati; Bacillota; Clostridia; Lachnospirales; Lachnospiraceae.
GGUGCAGUGUCUUAGUGGGGAGGAGUCCUGGUCUUGAAAACCAGUGUCCUGAAAGGGGCUGAGAGUUCAAAUAUCUCCUGCACUG